GAUGAACGCUAGCUACAGGCUUAACACAUGCAAGUCGAGGGGAAACGACAUCGAAAGCUUGCUUUUGAUGGGCGUCGACCGGCGCACGGGUGAGUAACGCGUAUCCAACCUGCCCAUCACUUGGGAAUAACCUUGCGAAAGUAAGACUAAUACCCAAUGAUAUCCCACGAAGGCAUCGGAAUGGGAUUAAAGAUUUAUCGGUGAUGGAUGGGGAUGCGCCUGAUUAGCUUGUUGGCGGGGUAACGGCCCACCAAGGCAACGAUCAGUAGGGGUUCUGAGAGGAAGGUCCCCCACAUUGGAACUGAGACACGGUCCAAACUCCUACGGGAGGCAGCAGUGAGGAAUAUUGGUCAAUGGGCGAGAGCCUGAACCAGCCAAGUAGCGUGCAGGAAGACGGCCCUAUGGGUUGUAAACUGCUUUUAUAAGGGAAUAAAGUGGGUCACGUGUGACUUUUUGCAUGUACCUUAUGAAUAAGGACCGGCUAAUUCCGUG
Molecule: ribosomal RNA, 492 nt
Filed under: uncultured bacterium
Lineage: Bacteria
Description: partial 16S ribosomal RNA
Rfam family: Bacterial small subunit ribosomal RNA
Source: RNAcentral